Molecule: long non-coding RNA, 803 nt
Organism: Xenia sp. Carnegie-2017
Lineage: Eukaryota; Metazoa; Cnidaria; Anthozoa; Malacalcyonacea; Xeniidae
Exons: 3
Source: RefSeq, a predicted model, not a curated record
UCGAAAAUUUAAGAUUUUUUUUAUGAAUUUAAACUAGUGUAAUGUGUAUGAAUGAAUUUGAUUGGUUUUACAAUAAAAUUUAAAUUGACGUUGCAUAAUUUAUUAUUCGGUUUUCCUUUCAAUAUGCUUUUGAAUAUUGAGCGUCAAUUUUUUACAUAUGUAAAAACCAUGCUUUCUCUAGUAAUUAUAUGCUGGCUAGGGGCUUGUUGCAUUGAAGGUUACGAUUCCGUUCUCGUAAAGUGUGUCGUGAAAAGCGAAACACGGCUUUGGCUGAAAAACGUGGAAAGUAUAUUUUGAAUGCAAGGUCAAAAUUCGUUCGUUGAAAUUUGAUGAAGAAGCCAUUAUCAAUGAAAUUGAAAGCGAUGUGCGUCAGGAAUACGUCUAAAGAGAUAUUGUGAUAAAAGUCAUCUCUUAAAAAUCUAUUGUAUUUAAUGAUUGGUACUUAGGUGUGUGAAAUGUAAUCUUUGGAGUUAUGUGCAUAAACUAUAGUUUUUGAGUGUGAGGUGCAUGAAAUAUAGUGUUUGCCAGCUAAUUGUGUGAAUUAUAGUGUUUAUGAGUUAGAUGCAGGAAGUAUAGUGUUAGUGAGUUAGGGGGAUUCAUUAUAAUAUAUGUGAUUUAGUGGCAUAGACUAUAACAGUCAGGAGUUAUGUUCAUGAACUCUAGUCUUAUGGUGUUAAGUGCAGGAACUAUAGUCUUUGGGAGUCAAUGUAAUAUAAUAUGAAAGAAAUGCACGAGAUUUCAUGACAAAUUAAAUUUGCUGAUGCAUUGUAACUUUGCAUAUCAUUAUUUCAUAUUUUCUCACA